AUUGAACGCUGGCGGAAUGCUUUACACAUGCAAGUCGAACGAUGAACCUUAGCUUGCUAAGGGGAUUAGUGGCGAACGGGUGAGUAAUAUAUCGGAACGUGCCUUGUAAUGGGGGAUAACUAGUCGAAAGAUUAGCUAAUACCGCAUACGCCCUGAGGGGGAAAGUAGGGGAUCUUCGGACCUUACGUUAUAAGAGCGGCCGAUAUCUGAUUAGCUAGUUGGUGGGGUAAUGGCCUACCAAGGCGACGAUCAGUAGCUGGUCUGAGAGGACGACCAGCCACACUAGAACUGAGACACGGUCCAGACUCCUACGGGAGGCAGCAGUGGGGAAUUUUGGACAAUGGGCGCAAGCCUGAUCCAGCCAUUCCGCGUGAGUGAAGAAGGCCUUCGGGUUGUAAAGCUCUUUCGCAAGGGAAGAAAACUUACCAUCGAAUAAAUGGUGAGGCUGACGGUACCUUGAUAAGAAGCACCGGCUAACUACGUG
RNAcentral lists this ribosomal RNA (484 nucleotides) under uncultured bacterium. RNAcentral's name for it is "partial 16S ribosomal RNA". It matches the Rfam family "Bacterial small subunit ribosomal RNA", at positions 30 to 507 of the family's 1533-position model. The record is from RNAcentral.